RNAcentral lists this ribosomal RNA (294 nucleotides) under uncultured bacterium. RNAcentral describes it as "partial 16S ribosomal RNA". It matches the Rfam family "Bacterial small subunit ribosomal RNA", at positions 775 to 1067 of the family's 1533-position model. The record is from RNAcentral.
GGAUUAGAUACCCUGGUAGUCCACGCCGUAAACGAUGUCAACUAGCCGUCGGACUCAUUUGAGAGUUUGGUGGCGCAGCUAACGCGAUAAGUUGACCGCCUGGGGAGUACGGCCGCAAGGUUAAAACUCAAAGGAAUUGACGGGGGCCCGCACAAGCGGUGGAGCAUGUGGUUUAAUUCGAUGCAACGCGAAGAACCUUACCAGCCCUUGACAUCCAGUGAACUUUCUAGAGAUAGAUUGGUGCCUUCGGGAACACUGUGACAGGUGCUGCAUGGCUGUCGUCAGCUCGUGCUG